GUCGAGCGAUGAGAUCACUUCGGUGAAGGAUUAGCGGCGAACGGGUGAGGAACACGUGAAGAAUCUGCCUUCAACUCUGGGAUAACUCCGGGAAACCGGGGCUAAUACCGGAUAUGAGCCUUGAUCGCAUGAUCGGGGCUGGAAAGUUUUUCGGUUGAAGAUGACUUCGCGGCCUAUCAGCUUGUUGGUGAGGUAAUGGCUCACCAAGGCGACGACGGGUAGCCGGCCUGAGAGGGCGACCGGCCACACUGGGACUGAGACACGGCCCAGACUCCUACGGGAGGCAGCAGUGGGGAAUAUUGGGCAAUGGACGAAAGUCUGACCCAGCGACGCCGCGUGCGGGAUGAAGGCCUUCGGGUUGUAAACCGCUUUCAGCAGGGAAUAAGCGCAAGUGAAGGUACCUGCAGAAGAAGCACCGGCUAACUAUGUGCCAGCAGCCGCGGUAAUACAUAGGGUGCAAGCGUUGUCCGGAAUUAUUGGGCGUAAAGAGCUCGUAGGUGGUUUGUUACGUCGGUUGUGAAAUUCAGGGGCUCAACCCCUGACUUGCAGCCGAUACGGGCAAGCUAAAGUUUGGUAGGGGAGACUGGAAUUCCUGGUGUAGCGGUGGAAUGCGCAGAUAUCAGGAGGAACACCGAUGGCGAAGGCAGGUCUCUGGGCCAAUACUGACACUGAGGAGCGAAAGCGUGGGGAGCGAACAGGAUUAGAUACCCUGGUAGUCCAC
This 721-nucleotide ribosomal RNA is filed under the name uncultured Actinomycetes bacterium. Its description in RNAcentral is "bacterial SSU rRNA". It matches the Rfam family "Bacterial small subunit ribosomal RNA", at positions 61 to 798 of the family's 1533-position model. The record is from RNAcentral. Lineage: Bacteria; Bacillati; Actinomycetota; Actinomycetes.